GGGACACUAAAGGCACUGAAACCACUUCAUCUCAAUGAAGUGGUCUGGGUGAUGUGCCCCUGUCCCUUAACCCUGCAGUGUGUACACUGCAGGAUUAAGACAAUCUCUAGUUGAACUCUGUAAAACGACGGACGUCCUCACGCUUUGUAUGUGGAUGUCUUCAAAUUCCCAUAUUGAUUCAAUGCUUUCCUGUGUUGAAGGUUUAAUGUAUGCACAGUGCUCACUGUGCAUGCACAUUAGGCUCCACAAUCAACACGACGUUGUGGGAGGUGGUGACUGGUCCAGGGCAAAAGUAAAUAUAUCUCUGUAUGUGCAGAGUUUCAAGCAAAAAUUCUGCAUAUACAAAUUCCUACCACGAUGGCUAUAUCUAAAAGCAGAAGUGGUCAUAGUAAUUGGACUCCAGUGGUUCCCACAGCGGUCCUUAUGGCACCCCUACCAGUCCAGG
Molecule: non-coding RNA, 445 nt
Organism: Pelobates cultripes (western spadefoot toad)
Lineage: Eukaryota; Metazoa; Chordata; Amphibia; Anura; Pelobatidae
Source: the annotation of a GenBank genome assembly